ACUGCUCAGUAACACGUAGUCAACCUAACUCGUGGACGUGGAUAACCUCGGGAAACUGAGAAUAAACCACGAUAGAUCAUAGUGCCUGGAAUGGCUUAUGGUCCAAACAGUUUACUGCCAUGGGAUGGGACUGCGGCCUAUCAGCUUGUUGGUGAGGUAAUGGCCCACCAAGGCGAUUACAGGUACGGGCUCUGAGAGGAGAAGCCCGGAGAUGGGUACUGAGACACGGACCCAGGCCCUAUGGGGCGCAGCAGGCGAGAAACCUUAGCAAUGUGCGAAAGCACGACUGGGUCAGUCCGAGUGAUUCCUGAUAAAGGAGUCUUUUGCUUGUCCUAAAAACACAGGUGAAUAAGGGGUGGGCAAGUCUGGUGUCAGCCGCCGCGGUAAUACCAGCACCUCGAGUGGUCAGGACGUUUAUUGGGCCUAAAGCAUCCGUAGCCGGCUUUGCAAGUCUUCGGUUAAAUCCACCUGCUCAACAGAUGGGCCGCUGGAGAUACUACAGAGCUAGGGAGUGGGAGAGGCAGACGGUAUUCAGUGGGUAGGGGUAAAAUCCUCUGAUCCAUUGAGGACCACCAGUGGCGAAGGCGGUCUGCCAGAACACGUUCGACGGUGAGGGAUGAAAGCUGGGGGAGCAAACCGGAUUAGAUACCCGGGUAGUCCCAGCUGUAAACGAUGCAAACUCGGUGAUGCAUUGGCUUAUGGCCAAUGCAGUGCCGCAGGGAAGCCGUUAAGUUUGCCGCCUGGGAAGUACGGACGCAAGUCUGAAACUUAAAGGAAUUGGCGGGGGAGCAC
RNAcentral lists this ribosomal RNA (792 nucleotides) under uncultured archaeon. RNAcentral's name for it is "bacterial SSU rRNA". It matches the Rfam family "Archaeal small subunit ribosomal RNA", at positions 85 to 879 of the family's 1478-position model. The record is from RNAcentral.